Molecule: long non-coding RNA, 908 nt
Organism: Pongo pygmaeus (Bornean orangutan)
Lineage: Eukaryota; Metazoa; Chordata; Mammalia; Primates; Hominidae
Exons: 3
Source: RefSeq, a predicted model, not a curated record
CUCAACUAAGAGAGCCCAUUUGUCACCUCAGGGGUGAUGGAGUCUCGCUCUGUCACCCAGGUUGGAGUGCAAUGCGAUCUCCAUACACUGCGAACUCUGCCUCCUGGGUUCACGCCAUUCUCCUGCCUCAGCCUCCCGAGUAGCUGGGACUACAGGUGCCUGCCACCACACCCAGUUGUGCUUUCCACCUCACACUACCCAGACGGGGAGAAUGGCAAAGCCCAGAAAACCAGCCAACAAGCAGCCACUCAUCAGAAUCCCUGCAGUCACUCAAGAAUCUGCGUGUUAGAUAGAGCAUAAUUUCCAGGAGGGAUUAUUUCACUCUCCUAUUUGAGCAUACAGUUGGAAUGAGGGGCCUUUGCUCUCUCUUUCCAGGAAAUUUCCCCUGCAGCAGUUUUUCUGCCCUUGCUUCAUUCAGCAGACAUCACUGAGAACGCGUUCAGUGGGAAAAGGAUUGUGCCUCUGUGACACUGUGAAAUAUAUAUUUGGGCUUCAUCUGUUUCCUGGCACAUGGCUCAUAAAACACUUGGAAUAUCCAAAGUCAUAAGAGUCUUUUGUAUGUCAACGAAAUGACUGCUGGUUGGGGGCCCCUGAAUAGCCUCAGGAUGGGGCUGGUUCCCAGGGGAACCAACCAAGUGGUCAGAGGGUUGGAACUUUCAGCUCCAAUGGGACCUCCUGGGAGGGAAGAGGGGCUGAAGAUUGAGUUGACCACCAAUGGCCAAUGAUGUCAUCAGUCAUGCCUACAUAAUAAAGCCUCCAUGAAAUCCCAAAAGAACAGACUUUGAGGAGUUUCUGGCUAGCUGAACACGUAGAGAUUCCUGGAGGAUGGUGUUCCCGGAGGGGGCAUGGAAGCUCCAUACCCUUUCUCUCGUAUGCAUCUCCCUAAGCAUCUCUUCAUCCUGAGGCAU